RNAcentral lists this ribosomal RNA (467 nucleotides) under uncultured bacterium. RNAcentral describes it as "partial 16S ribosomal RNA". It matches the Rfam family "Bacterial small subunit ribosomal RNA", at positions 29 to 507 of the family's 1533-position model. The record is from RNAcentral.
ACGCACGCUGGCGGCGUGCUUCACACCUGCAGGUCGAACGGAAAGGCCCUGCUUUUGUGGGGUGCUCGAGUGGCGAACGGGUGAGUAACACGUGAGUAACCUGCCCUUGACUUUGGGAUAACUUCAGGAAACUGGGGCUAAUACCGGAUAGGAGCUCCUGCUGCAUGGUGGGGGUUGGAAAGUUUCGGCGGUUGGGGAUGGACUCGCGGCUUAUCAGCUUGUUGGUGGGGUAGUGGCUUACCAAGGCUUUGACGGGUAGCCGGCCUGAGAGGGUGACCGGCCACAUUGGGACUGAGAUACGGCCCAGACUCCUACGGGAGGCAGCAGUGGGGAAUAUUGCACAAUGGGCGGAAGCCUGAUGCAGCAACGCCGCGUGCGGGAUGACGGCCUUCGGGUUGUAAACCGCUUUCGCCUGUGACGAAGCGUGAGUGACGGUAAUGGGUAAAGAAGCACCGGCUAACUACGUG